This 478-nucleotide ribosomal RNA is filed under the name Helicoradomenia sp. AO-2003. RNAcentral describes it as "partial 16S ribosomal RNA". It matches the Rfam family "Bacterial large subunit ribosomal RNA", at positions 1817 to 2600 of the family's 2925-position model. Lineage: Eukaryota; Metazoa; Mollusca; Solenogastres; Cavibelonia; Simrothiellidae. The record is from RNAcentral.
UGCUCUUCGCUUCUCAUGAAGAGUCAGACCUGCCCAGUGGAUAUUUUUCUAAACGGCCGCAGAAUUUUAACUGUGCUAAGGUAGCAUAAUCAUUUGUCUUUUAAUUGGAGACCGGUAUGAAUGGUUUAACGGAAUUAGGCUAUAUUUUUUAUAUUAAAUAAAAUUUAAUCUUAAAGUCAAAAAGCUUUAAUAUAAUAAAAAGACAAAAAGACCCUAUAGAGUUUUAUUUUUAAUUAUUAGAAAUAAAAUAUUAAAAAUUUUGUUGGGGCAACUAAGAAAAAAUAAAUUUUUCUUUAAUAAAAUAAAUAUACCUUAUCAUUUAUUUAAUAAAACAAAAUAAAUUACCUUAGGGAUAACAGCGUAACUUUCUUUGAGAGUCCAAAUCGAAAAGAAAAAUUACGACCUCGAUGUUGGAUUAGAGUAACUUAAAAUAGCAAAAAAUUUUAAAGGUAGUCUGUUCGACUAAUAACUCUCUACA